UUUUUCCGUUCUUUCUUCUUCAACCGUGGGAAAGAACCGAAAAUGGCAGCUAUGGAUGAGCUCCAUUCGGCCAAGCUUCUAUGGCUUAUAUAGUGUUGUCAGGUUGGCUCGGGGUUGGAGAUCGUCGGAAGUAUCAUCACACUAUUAGUUUAUUAAAUUAGAAUAAUGGUAAUUCUUAUUUAUUGUCAAAUAAGUGGCAUGUAUAGAUAAUAAGUUAUUGAUAUUAGGUAAUAUUAUGAUUUAGCCAAAUGUAUAGGCUCAUUUUGCUUCAUUGUAUAUAGCCAUAAGAUUUGGCUCAUAAUGGUUAAAGUUAUGUAAACCUAUUUUAUGUAUGCAUAGAUAAAUAUCUUGGUGUGGCUAAGUUAAGAACACAAAAA
Long non-coding RNA from Gossypium arboreum, 377 nucleotides. RefSeq lists it as uncharacterized. The record is from RefSeq and is a predicted model, not a curated record. NCBI's taxonomy places the organism in Eukaryota, Viridiplantae, Streptophyta, Magnoliopsida, Malvales, Malvaceae. The transcript is spliced from 2 exons.